This 3114-nucleotide long non-coding RNA is filed under the name Sus scrofa (pig). RNAcentral's name for it is "lncRNA (ENSSSCG00040023733.1)". The record is from RNAcentral. Lineage: Eukaryota; Metazoa; Chordata; Mammalia; Artiodactyla; Suidae.
CUGACCGUAGCUGAAGGAGCCACUUCCAAGAUGGCACACUUACCUGCCUCGGUUCCUUGCCAUGUGGACCUCUCCACAGGACCACCUGUGUGUCUUCAAGUGUGGCUGCUGACACAGUGAAUGAUCCAAGAGAAGAACAAGGAGGUCCUUCAUGGCCUAGUAUCAGAAGUCACACUGUCACUUCUGCCACAUUUUUGUUGUUAGAAGUGUCACUAAGGCUGGCCCUGCAUGGGUGGAGGGGAGUUAGGCUUCAUUUUUAGAAAGGAAGAGUGUCAAAAAAGAUCCUGAACAUAUUGUAAAACUACUAUACUGUCAACUGCUCUUUUCUGCUGAUAAAUAGAAACCAUCCAGUUUUUACCAGCCAUCAACCAGAUCUCCACCAAACUGCUCUUUGGGGAACGCACCCCCCCCAUGGUUGCUCACAGCUGCUUCUGAGUGCUGAGUAGGUCUGCAGCUUCAUCCUCUCAUCAACCCAAUCUCCUCAUUCUUGGCAUUCAAGACCUCCCUGCUGUGGCUUAAACCAACUUUCCAGCUUACCUCUAGCCACUAUGAGGCGCUUUUAUUCCAGCAGUGUUUUCUAUUUAUUCUUUAUAACAAUAAUGGCUGCCAUUUAGAGUACCUGAUAUGUUUUAGGCACUGUACAGAUAUUAUCCAUAAUCCCUAAUUCUGCAAGAUGGGGAAAGAGAGGUUCAGAGAAAUUAGGUAACUUGCCCAAGAGCUCACAGCUAGUCAGCAGCUGUGGAGUCAGAUCAGGCUUUCCUUUCCUGCCUCCUGCUGGGCCCCCUGCCUCUCUUCCACCAGACAAUCCCUUCCCCUCCAUCCAGGCCCUUCCCAGCCAGCUCAAGCUUCAUACUGGGGGAGGUUUUCUCUGCUGUGAUCGCGGUUGGCACUCAUCCAAGUCUCAUUCCCCGGCCUCUGUGCCCCGCCUCCACCCCCUCCCCGGCGGCAGGACCUGUUGCGGCUCUUCCGCCGGAGCCCGACCUCCUUCCCGCUCGCCGCACCGCUCCCAGCGCCCAGCUCCCUGGCUCUCGUCUCCAAGGUUACCCAGCGACUUUGCCCGACUCUGCUACCUCCUCCCAUUUCUUAGCUGUGCCUGCGGGGAGGUGGAAGAGGGGUUGGGGCUGCCUGGAGAGAAGGUGCCAUCUCCCUCCCUGAUCCUUUCACGAUUGGUUCGUUCCUUUGUCUCUUCCUUUCCUUUCCUUCCCCUGCCUGGUAAGCUUUUCUUUGCCCCUGCUUUGUAAGCUUCUCUCCUCGUUUCUCUGUCUCUUUGUCUCUAUUUCCUCUACUACUUUGUCUCUCCAUCUUUCUUUUUCUGUCUCUCACUUUCUGACUCGGUUUCUCUCUGAGUAUCUUUCUUUGAGUCUCUCUCUUUUACCUUUGCGUUCUCCUCUGAGUUCUGGUUUUAAAUUCAGAAACAGUAAGAAUUAUCCCUGGUCCCUUACUAACACCCCGUGUCUUCAGGCUUGGGUGUUAAAGGGCUUUGCUGGAGGAGAUGUAAAGUCUGGAGCCCGGAGCAGGCUCAGGUGCUUAGGGAGGGGAGUGGGCAGGAGCCACAGUAGCACUAACACUAGGCCUAAGGACGACCAGCGCCCCUACGCCCCUCUGUGUGCCUGGGACACGCCCUGCCUAAGCAGAGGCUGAGGCUGACAGGCCCCGCCUCCCCUGUGUUCAGGCUGCAAUGCUGUCCCUUGACUGAUGCUCUCCCCUGAUGGAGGUUUGCUGCAUGUGCUUGUGAUCUACAGGUGUCCCCUUUCCAUCACCCCAGGCGGAGCACAUGACAGGCCAGGCACAGAGCCGGGCACUCAGCAGGUGCUCAGCCUGUGUGUCUCCUGUCAAGGAGGGACUUGCACAGAGCCUCUGGCCUCCAUGUCACCUGGGUGUUAUAUAAUGUUCUAGGGGAAAUAAAGCUUUUCCCAAGAACCUUUUGGGGAACUUUUCCAGAAAAAUUAAGAGAUUUUUUUUUUCCUGUAGGAAAUGUCCAUUUCCUUCUGCUGAAAAAUUUUCCAUUUUUCUCUCAGACUUUGAUAUCUGUACUAAAAUGCAGUAAAUGGCUUCUAUAUUUCAACAUGAUCAUUACAUCUUAAUGCAUCUCUGUUCCUAAACUAAUAGUGACAUUAUAAAGGGCCCUAAAAACAAGACCUUGCAUACAUUUUGACCCUGUCACGUUUCUCCCUUGGCCUAAGCAUUUCUGGACUUUCUCCCCCUACGUGUCUAAACUAGAGCCCUGGGAGAUCAGACCGAGGUGACUGUUCUAGAUGCUCCUAAACAUGGGAUUAAGGGGGACACUGCCAGCUCAAGCAGGAUCAGCAAGGCCUACCCACCUAGAACUGGUCAGACCCCAGCCAGAAGAGUCAGUGAGGUCCAGCCUAACCCUAUGAGACCCAGCUAGGCUGUCCUGAGGCUUCAGUUCUUAGUGAGUCCUUCCUGGUCCCAGAGAGAAGCUCUUUCUAGCUUCUGCCCCAGAUUCCCAGGAUGAGCAAAAGAAUCCUAGGUCUCCCUAUACGUAUGGGAGGACAAUCCAUGCCAUUCUGCCAUUUCCCCCUCCCCCACAAGUAUUUUGGAUGUGCCAGGUCUAGGCCAUGCUCCACCUCCUGGGAUGCCUCCUGUUUUCUCUGUUGAUCUACUACCAUUAUCUUUUCAAAAACGGAUGUAGAACUCACCUCCUCCUGGAAGCCUUCCCUGAUUAUCUCCAUUCCCCACUCAACAUGUAUUUCUGGAGUGUCUGUCACAUGCCAGACACUAUCUUGGACACUGGGAGUACCUUAGUGAACAACCCAGGUGGGGUUCCUGCCCACCCCCUGCCCCGCCAAGCUUACAUGAGAAGAACAGACAGUAAAUAGGAAAAUGAAUGCUGUGAUGACUAACCUGGGAUUCCCUAGCUGGAGGGUCCAGGGAGACCAGGCCCAUUCUCAAAGAGGAAAAAUCCACCUUGGGCAAGUCACCUAUCUCUGAGCUCAUUUUCCUCAUUUGUGAAAGUAAGGGGUUUGUUAACUUUUUGCUCUAGAAUUAUUGUGUCUUAAAAGCAAAUUUACUUUCAAGUGAGUUUAUAAAAAUAUCACAUUAUUUCUGGAGGCUUACUAGGUCAUUAUAGAAAAAUUUAAAAUCCUAAUUAAG